Long non-coding RNA from Morone saxatilis (striped sea-bass), 383 nucleotides. RefSeq lists it as uncharacterized. NCBI's taxonomy places the organism in Eukaryota, Metazoa, Chordata, Actinopteri, Moronidae. The record is from RefSeq and is a predicted model, not a curated record. The transcript is spliced from 3 exons.
GCUGCAUGAAGUGUAGUAUCACCCUCCAGCAAAACUCAUCUACAGCGUUCACCUGUUCAUCAUGAUGAAGCUGAUCCUUUCUCUGACUCUCAUCUGGACGCUCUCCAGCACAGCUGGAGCACUUCAGUGUCAAACUUGCAUAAAUCAGCAGUGUUUAAGCCCGGUAUCAUUUAAAUGUUUCACAGCGACAGAGUUGUGUAUAUCAGUUUCCAUUCAAGCCACUUUAUUUGGAACCCCAGCCCAGCAAACCUUAAAGGCUUGUGCACCGCCCUCCCUGUGUCCGGCCACAGGCUUUCAGAAUAUUUCAGCCAACUUGGGUUUUGUGAAUGGAGUUGCAUCUGUUCGGUGCUGCAACACGGAUAACUGCAACAUGAAACAACUCC